This 245-nucleotide ribosomal RNA is filed under the name uncultured bacterium. RNAcentral's name for it is "partial 16S ribosomal RNA". It matches the Rfam family "Bacterial small subunit ribosomal RNA", at positions 111 to 354 of the family's 1533-position model. The record is from RNAcentral.
UAACACGUGGGCAACCUGCCUCAUAGAGGGGAAUAGCCUUCCGAAAGGGAGAUUAAUACCGCAUAAGAUUGUAGCUUCGCAUGAAGUAGCAAUUAAAGGAGUAAUCCGCUAUGAGAUGGGCCCGCGGCGCAUUAGCUAGUUGGUGAGGUAACGGCUCACCAAGGCGACGAUGCGUAGCCGACCUGAGAGGGUGAUCGGCCACAUUGGGACUGAGACACGGCCCAGACUCCUACGGGAGGCAGCAG